This 253-nucleotide ribosomal RNA is filed under the name uncultured bacterium. RNAcentral describes it as "partial 16S ribosomal RNA". It matches the Rfam family "Bacterial small subunit ribosomal RNA", at positions 524 to 776 of the family's 1533-position model. The record is from RNAcentral.
UACGGAGGGUGCAAGCGUUAUCCGGAUUCACUGGGUUUAAAGGGUGCGUAGGCGGUUUUGUAAGUCAGUGGUGAAAUCUCCCGGCUCAACCGGGAAGCUGCCAUUGAUACUGCAGAACUAGAGUACAGAUGACGUUGGCGGAAUGUGUCAUGUAGCGGUGAAAUGCAUAGAUAUGACACAGAACACCGAUUGCGAAGGCAGCUGACGAAACUGCAACUGACGCUGAUGCACGAAAGUGCGGGGAUCAAACAGG